This 81-nucleotide transfer RNA is filed under the name Treponema sp. Its description in RNAcentral is "tRNA-Glu". Lineage: Bacteria; Pseudomonadati; Spirochaetota; Spirochaetia; Treponematales; Treponemataceae. The record is from RNAcentral.
GCCGCCGAGGGCCCAAAUCGGAGCAGGGCUACGCCGUUUCGCGGGGUAGAGUGCAGCGGGUUCGAAUCCCGUCGGGCGGCU